This 253-nucleotide long non-coding RNA is filed under the name Ananas comosus (pineapple). Its description in RNAcentral is "long non-coding RNA (ACOM_LNC010251)". The record is from RNAcentral. Lineage: Eukaryota; Viridiplantae; Streptophyta; Magnoliopsida; Poales; Bromeliaceae.
CACUCUGUGCCAUCCCGAUCACUAAAAUAAAACACACAUUAAUCACAAUAUAACAACUCGGCUCAACCUAAUCAAGCGACAACUCGGCUCGACCUAAUUAAGCGCAAGUUUAGAAAGACAUCCCUUUCUUCCUACGAUAUUAUGUUGUCUGCAGCCAACAUAAUUAUCCAGCAAGAAAAGAUACAUCUGCUUGAAAAGAUACAUCUUUUUUAUUUACUUUUCAACUUCAUCUGAAGAGUUCAUAUAACUCAAU